UUUAAUUCGAAGCAACGCGAAGAACCUUACCAGGUCUUGACAUCCCGAUGCUAUUUCUAGAGAUAGAAAGUUACUUCGGUACAUCGGUGACAGGUGGUGCAUGGUUGUCGUCAGCUCGUGUCGUGAGAUGUUGGGUUAAGUCCCGCAACGAGCGCAACCCCUAUUGUUAGUUGCCAUCAUUCAGUUGGGCACUCCAGCGAGACUGCCGGUAAUAAACCGGAGGAAGGUGGGAUGACGUCAAAUCAUCAUGCCCCUUAUGACCUGGGCUACACACGUGCUACAAUGGUUGGUAUAACGAGUUGCGAGUCGGUGACGGCGAGCUAAUCUCUUAAAGCCAAUCUCAGUUCGGAUUGUAGGCUGCAACUCGCCUACAUGAAGUCGGAAUCGCUAGUAAUCGCGGAUCAGCACGCCGCGGUGAAUACGUUCCCGGGCCUU
RNAcentral lists this ribosomal RNA (435 nucleotides) under uncultured Streptococcus sp. Its description in RNAcentral is "bacterial SSU rRNA". It matches the Rfam family "Bacterial small subunit ribosomal RNA", at positions 945 to 1382 of the family's 1533-position model. Lineage: Bacteria; Bacillati; Bacillota; Bacilli; Lactobacillales; Streptococcaceae. The record is from RNAcentral.